Molecule: long non-coding RNA, 500 nt
Filed under: Homo sapiens (human)
Lineage: Eukaryota; Metazoa; Chordata; Mammalia; Primates; Hominidae
Description: HSALNT0051635
Source: RNAcentral
CAGGUCUGAGCCACCCUGUCCAGACCAUUUCUUCUUCUUGUCUAUGGGAAGCUAGCUGCAGUGCCAUGAGGACGUCAGUCAGCUCUGUGGAGAGGUCCAGUAAUGAGGAGCUAAGGCCUCCCACCAGCAUUUAGCAAGGAAGCUGAUGGAGGCUUCAGACCAACAGCUACAUAGCUGCCUUGUGAGCUGCUUUGUAGAGAAGUCCAUGUGGCAAGGAGCUAAGUAAGGGAGGCAUCGUGACAACAGCCAGUGAGGAACUGAGGCACUCAGUCUAACAGCUUGGGAGGAAUUGAAUCCUUCCAACAACCUGCAUGUGAGCUUGAGCUUGGAAAUGGACCUUACCUCAGGUGAACUUUUAGGUGAGACAACAGUCCUAAGCCAAUACUUUGAUUGCAGCCUUGUGAGAGAACUUGAGCUAGAGGUACCAAGCUAAACCAUGCUUGUAUUUCUGAUUCACGGAAACUGAAAUAAUAAAAGUUUGUUACUUGAAGCUGCUAAAU